AGUUUGAUCCUGGCUCAGAUUGAACGCUGGCGGAAUGCUUUACACAUGCAAGUCGAGCGGCAGCGCGGGGCAACCUGGCGGCGAGCGGCGAACGGGUGAGUAAUACAUCGGAACGUACCCAGUCGUGGGGGAUAACCACUCGAAAGAGUGGCUAAUACCGCAUACGACCUGAGGGAGAAAGCGGGGGCUCGCAAGACCUCGCGCGAUUGGAGCGGCCGAUGUCUGAUUAGCUGGUUGGUGGGGUAAAGGCCUACCAAGGCGACGAUCAGUAGCUGGUCUGAGAGGACGACCAGCCACACUGGGACUGAGACACGGCCCAGACUCCUACGGGAGGCAGCAGUGGGGAAUUUUGGACAAUGGGCGCAAGCCUGAUCCAGCCAUUCCGCGUGAGUGAAGAAGGCCUUCGGGUUGUAAAGCUCUUUCGGCAGGGAAGAAACGGACUGGGUUAAUACCCUGGUUUAAUGACGGUACCUGAAGAAGAAGCACCGGCUAACUACGUGCCAGCAGCCGCGGUAAUACGUAGGGUGCGAGCGUUAAUCGGAAUUACUGGGCGUAAAGCGUGCGCAGGCGGUUGUUUAAGACAGAUGUGAAAUCCCCGGGCUCAACCUGGGAACUGCGUUUGUGACUGGACAGCUAGAGUGCGGCAGAGGGGGGUGGAAUUCCACGUGUAGCAGUGAAAUGCGUAGAGAUGUGGAGGAACACCGAUGGCGAA
Molecule: ribosomal RNA, 712 nt
Filed under: uncultured bacterium
Lineage: Bacteria
Description: bacterial SSU rRNA
Rfam family: Bacterial small subunit ribosomal RNA
Source: RNAcentral